RNAcentral lists this ribosomal RNA (1008 nucleotides) under Cordyceps sp. Its description in RNAcentral is "SSU rRNA". It matches the Rfam family "Eukaryotic small subunit ribosomal RNA", at positions 87 to 1106 of the family's 1831-position model. Lineage: Eukaryota; Fungi; Ascomycota; Sordariomycetes; Hypocreales; Cordycipitaceae. The record is from RNAcentral.
CUGCGAAUGGCUCAUUAUAUAAGUUAUCGUUUAUUUGAUAGUACCUUACUACUUGGAUAACCGUGGUAAUUCUAGAGCUAAUACAUGCUAAAAAUCCCGACUUCGGAAGGGAUGUAUUUAUUAGAUUAAAAACCAAUGCCCUCUGGGCUCCUUGGUGAUUCAUAAUAACUUUUCGAAUCGCAUGGCCUUGCGCCGGCGAUGGUUCAUUCAAAUUUCUUCCCUAUCAACUUUCGAUGUUUGGGUAUUGGCCAAACAUGGUCGCAACGGGUAACGGAGGGUUAGGGCUCGACCCCGGAGAAGGAGCCUGAGAAACGGCUACUACAUCCAAGGAAGGCAGCAGGCGCGCAAAUUACCCAAUCCCGAUUCGGGGAGGUAGUGACAAUAAAUACUGAUACAGGGCUCUUUUGGGUCUUGUAAUUGGAAUGAGUACAAUUUAAAUCCCUUAACGAGGAACAAUUGGAGGGCAAGUCUGGUGCCAGCAGCCGCGGUGAUUCCAGCUCCAAUAGCGUAUAUUAAAGUUGUUGUGGUUAAAAAGCUCGUAGUUGAACCUUGGGCCUGGCUGGCCGGUCCGCCUCACCGCGUGUACUGGUCCGGCCGGGCCUUUCCCUCUGUGGAACCUCAUGCCCUUCACUGGGUGUGGCGGGGAAACAGGACUUUUACUUUGAAAAAAUUAGAGUGCUCCAGGCAGGCCUAUGCUCGAAUACAUUAGCAUGGAAUAAUAAAAUAGGACGCGUGGUUCUAUUUUGUUGGUUUCUAGGACCGCCGUAAUGAUUAAUAGGGACAGUCGGGGGCAUCAGUAUUCAAUUGUCAGAGGUGAAAUUCUUGGAUUUAUUGAAGACUAACUACUGCGAAAGCAUUUGCCAAGGAUGUUUUCAUUAAUCAGGAACGAAAGUUAGGGGAUCGAAGACGAUCAGAUACCGUCGUAGUCUUAACCAUAAACUAUGCCGACUAGGGAUCGGACGAUGUUAUUUUUUGACGCGUUCGGCACCUUACGAGAAAUCAAAGUGC